This 387-nucleotide ribosomal RNA is filed under the name uncultured euryarchaeote. RNAcentral's name for it is "bacterial SSU rRNA". It matches the Rfam family "Archaeal small subunit ribosomal RNA", at positions 339 to 727 of the family's 1478-position model. Lineage: Archaea; Methanobacteriati; Methanobacteriota. The record is from RNAcentral.
GCGCGCAAACUUUCCAAUGCACGAAAGUGUGAGAAGGGAAUUCCGAGUGCUCAAGCAUUGCUUGGGCUUUUGUCAAGUGCAAAUAGCUUGGCGAAUAAGGGGUGGGUAAGACUGGUGCCAGCCGCCGCGGUAACCCCAGCGCCCCAAGUGGGAAUCACGAUUAUUGGGUCUAAAGCGUUCGUAGCAGGCCUUGUAAAUCUCUUGUGAAAUCGGCAAGCUUAACUUGUCGGCGUGCAGGAGACACUGUAGGGCUCGAGAUCGGGAGAGGUUAGAAGUAUUCCUUGGGUACCGGUAAAAUGGGUUAAUCCAGGGAGGACUACCAAUGGCGAAGGCAUCUGACCAGAACGAUUCUGACUGUGAGGAACGAAAGCUAGGGGAGCAAAACGG